RNAcentral lists this long non-coding RNA (435 nucleotides) under Homarus americanus (American lobster). Its description in RNAcentral is "uncharacterized LOC121861280". The record is from RNAcentral. Lineage: Eukaryota; Metazoa; Arthropoda; Malacostraca; Decapoda; Nephropidae.
AGACGGACGUCAACACAGAACACUGGCACGCGACGACGCUACAACAUCUUCUGUACUAACACGCUCAUCAAACGACCAUGAACCCUAUACGAGUUGACCGAGGUAGCUGCAGUGUCGCCACAAGAACAAUUCGGAGCGUCUACAAAAGUUGUCUUGAUUUUUACCUGGUGCUGGAGAACUCGAUCGCAACAAUUCCUUUCCUACUCCAGUUCUACCGCGGUUAGUGGAUCCUUCCCACAGCAUUACAGUGAGUUUCCUAGUGUUAAACUACAAGAAAUUGGUCUCCAAAAAAACUGCUUUGUUAUUUCUUCUACCCCAUUUGUGGGUCAUGAGCUGUAUUGCAUUACAUUCUGUGCAAGUAAAGUCAAACUUGUACAUAUUGAAUAUCCAGUAUAUGUAACCAAUAAAGUUUUUCUAUUUAUGGAAUAAUCCAAA